AUGAUUGGCGGGGCGGGGCGGCAGCGGCAUGACGGUGCGGUGGCGCGGCCGCGACGCAGGUUUGAAGCCGCUGGUGGCGAGGAGGAGGGAGGGGAGGCCACGACGGCGAGCGCGGGGUGCAUGUGCCGGUCGUGCGCGGCGGUGGCCGUGGCGGACUGCGUGGCGCUGGCGUGCUGCCCCUGCGCGGUCGUCAGCCUGCUCGGCCUGGCGCUCGUCAGGGCGCCCCUCGCCGUCGGCAGGCUGGUGAUCAGGGCCAGGCGGAGGCGGCGGGCGCUGCUGCGCGGCAAGCGGGUGCCCGACGUGGCCGCCGCCGCGGCUCUCCCGGCGCCGGGCGACGACGACCGCGAGAAGGGCGCGGUGAAGGAGGGCGGCGUCGGCGGCGUGCAGACCACGGCGACGAGUACGGGCGGCGAGGUGGGAGUCGGCGAUGAUCACGAGGCGGAGCUGGCGUGGCUGGAGGAGAUGUACCGGACGGGGCGCUGGGGCUUCGGCCGCGUCUCCUUCUCGGCCAAAACCCCGUGA
This 522-nucleotide ribosomal RNA is filed under the name Triticum aestivum (bread wheat). RNAcentral describes it as "partial small subunit ribosomal RNA". Lineage: Eukaryota; Viridiplantae; Streptophyta; Magnoliopsida; Poales; Poaceae. The record is from RNAcentral.